This 497-nucleotide ribosomal RNA is filed under the name uncultured bacterium. RNAcentral describes it as "partial 16S ribosomal RNA". It matches the Rfam family "Bacterial small subunit ribosomal RNA", at positions 28 to 507 of the family's 1533-position model. The record is from RNAcentral.
GAUGAACGCUGGCGGCGUGCCUAAUACAUGCAAGUCGAGCGAACAGACGAGGAGCUUGCUCCUCUGACGUUAGCGGCGGACGGGUGAGUAACACGUGGAUAACCUACCUAUAAGACUGGGAUAACUUCGGGAAGCCGGAGCUAAUACCGGAUAAUAUAUUGAACCGCAUGGUUCAAUAGUGAAAGACGGUUUUGCUGUCACUUAUAGAUGGAUCCGCGCCGCAUUAGCUAGUUGGUAAGGUAACGGCUUACCAAGGCGACGAUGCGUAGCCGACCUGAGAGGGUGAUCUGCCACACUGGAACUGAGACACGGUCCAGACUCCUACGGGAGGCAGCAGUAGGGAAUCUUCCGCAAUGGGCGAAAGCCUGACGGAGCAACGCCGCGUGAGUGAUGAAGGUCUUCGGAUCGUAAAACUCUGUUAUUAGGGAAGAACAAAUGUGUAAGUAACUAUGCACGUCUUGACGGUACCUAAUCAGAAAGCCACGGCUAACUACGUG